UACGUAGGGUGCAAGCGUUAAUCGGAAUUACUGGGCGUAAAGCGUGCGCAGGCGGUUUUGUAAGUUUGUCGUGAAAGCCCCGGGCUCAACCUGGGAAUUGCAUUUGAGACUGAAUAGCUAGGGUGCGGAAGAGGGAAGCGGAAUUUCCGGUGUAGCGGUGAAAUGCGUAGAUAUCGGAAGGAACACCAGUGGCGAAAGCGGCUUCCUGGUCCAGCACCGACGUCAGGCACGAAAGCGUGGGGAGCAAACAGG
This 252-nucleotide ribosomal RNA is filed under the name uncultured bacterium. RNAcentral describes it as "partial 16S ribosomal RNA". It matches the Rfam family "Bacterial small subunit ribosomal RNA", at positions 524 to 776 of the family's 1533-position model. The record is from RNAcentral.